RNAcentral lists this long non-coding RNA (218 nucleotides) under Elaeis guineensis (African oil palm). Its description in RNAcentral is "long non-coding RNA (EGUI_LNC047095)". The record is from RNAcentral. Lineage: Eukaryota; Viridiplantae; Streptophyta; Magnoliopsida; Arecales; Arecaceae.
UGUGGUUCGCCCAAUCCUAGUGCAUCCAUAAGUAGGUUCAUAACCAAUUAUUUCUCCAAAUAAUUUCUAGCAAUCAGAUUUUGCCCCAGGCAUCCCUUUAGCAGGCGUGUGGCAUCUCCACUGAAAAUUCUGAUUAGGUCCAACCAUUAACAUGACAAUAUCAAGUACAUCUAACAAAUGGAUGUCUAGGUUUGAGUGUAGCUCGAUCAAUCUGAACA